GUGGGGAGCUAUUUCUGGGCCCCGUGCGCCCUCCUCUCGCGCUUCCUCAGACCUGUCCUCUUUGGAGAUCUUGCCCCCACCCCCAGGAAUGCGGAUGGGGAGAGAGAAUCACGGUCCUGGAAUGAGGGGUGAGGGGUCCGGAACCCCAGGUGGAAGGUGUUGCUACACUGGGGGUCAGCUUUGGGACAUCCAGGGUCAGGGUGCCGUGGGAAUGACAAGUGGUCUGAUUGGGGACAGGGACUUGGAGGAGGCCAGUCUGGUGGAGAGUGAAGUGCUAGGAGGAGGGGCCGCAAGGACGGACUCCGGCUGAUCCUGACAAGGGCCACGGAAGGCAUUGUGCCGGGGGCGGGACUCUGGGCCUGCACCCCAGGGGCCUGGUGCGGGUGGGAGGAGCUGUGGGCCAGGAGGGAGGAGCUUACCCCGCCUGCCAGCUGGUAAGAGGCAGAGCGCUGAGGCCCAGACUCAGGGUCUAAGGACUCAGCCAGGAUUGGCUGGGUGCUCCCACUGACCCAGUCAGAUCAGCCUCGUCUCCAGGUCUCCAACUCCAUGACCUGUUCAGCACCUCUGCGGCUGACCAGCCCUGACCCAAGCCUCCACCUCCUCAUUUUGUCACAAGAUCUUCUAUAGCUGCUCCCCAACAAUACACUGAGACCCUCUCUCCCCCAGCCCACCCUCUCCUGCCCUGGCUCCCUCCUUGGGCCACAGCCUCUAGCUCCCUGGGUGGCCCUGAGCCCACAUCACUCCACCCCUGACAACCAUCUGCAGCCCUACCUGCAAUUGGGCCAUACCUCCCCAGGUUGCCCCUCCUCUCUGGACCUUGCCAUGCCCUCUCCCACCUUCCCAUCUGGGGCAGGGAGGCCCUUGGGCUCAUCCUGGCUCCCACCACCCCAGCUCAGCCCUCAGACACCCUUACCCCACACCCUCUCUCUGCCUUCACUUCCCCUCUCCCCUCAUUUCUUCUCAGCUCUGCUCAGGCCCUGACUCCUCCUUGGCUUCACAGCACCCAGCAGCUGAGAUCCUCACCAUGGCCAGCCCUGGGAAGCCUGGGACUGGGGAGGCCCAGGAGGAGGAGGGAGAGGAGGAGGGCUGUGCCCUAGGGCCACUGGUGGCGAUGCAGGAGCAGGCUCAGGAGCUGUUUCUGCUGUGUGACAAGGAGGCCAAGGGCUUCAUCACCCGGCAUGACCUGCAGAGCCUGCAGAGCGACCUGCCCCUCACACCUGAACAGCUUGAGGCUGUGUUUGAAAGUCUGGACCAGGCCCACACAGGCUUCCUCACCGCUCGGGAGUUCUGCCUUGGCCUGGGAAAGUUCGUGGGGGUGGAGUUGGCCCAGGGCACUCUGCCCUCCCGGGUUCCAGAGGAGACCUUCGAGUCAGGCUGGUCGGAUGUGCAAGGCACCAGGGGCUCCCUGGAGGAGGACGAUGAGGAGGAGAGAUUCUGUGCUGCGCUGGAGCAACUGGGGGUGGCCCGGGUCCUGGGCGAGCAGCAGGCAAUUAGGAUUCUCUGGACCCGGCUGCAGCGUGAGCGACCAGAACUGCUAGGCUCCUUGGAGGACGUUCUGCUGCGCACAUCAGCCUGCCUGGAGGAGGCAGCCCGAGAGCGGGACAGCCUGGAGAAGGCGCUGCGGCGGCGGGAGACCGAGCACGAGAGGGAGGUACGGUGUCUGUACGAGGAGAUGGAGCAGCAGCUUCGGGAGCAGCGACAGCGCCUGCGGAGUCAGGACCUCCCCCGCGAGGAGCGGAGAGGCCGCCUAGAGCAGGAGCUGCAGAACCGCGAGCAGGAGCUGGAACGCGCGGGGCUGCGGCUGCAGGAGCUGGAACAGCAGCUGCAGACCCGGGCCACGGAGCAGCUGGAGGUGCAGGCACAGAACGCCCAGCUGUGGCUGGCUAACGAGGCGCUGCGGACACAGCUGGAGGGGGCACAAGAGCAGCUCCGCAGACUGGAGGGCGACGUGCAGGGCCGCCGGGAGCAAACCCAACGAGAUGUGGUCGCCGUCUCAAGGAACAUGCAGAAAGAGAAGCUCAGCCUCCUGCGGCAACUGGAACUCCUCAGGCCGUCCUCCAAACUACGCCCAGAGGACUCCUCUCUGCAUCUGACCAUACCUCCAGACCCUCCCCUCAUCUGCUCUGCCGACCCCUGCAGACUCCGGGUCUUGGACACAGCCCAGGGCCUCGCUGGCCUGACCGCCUUCCCCCCCGCCCCUUCCCGCCACAAGCGCAGCUCCCCCCGAGGGGGCUGGCCCUGGCUGGGCUGUGGGCACCCCCGGGCUGCAACUCUCCCGGCCUCGGCAGCCUCGGGUGGACCCCAGCGCCUGCACAAGGCGGUGUCCCACCGGCUUGAGCGCGCGCGCGCGCGCGCGUCGAGCUUUGCUCAGACCUGCCGGGCGUCGGCGGCCGUGGGCGGGGCCUGCGGGGCUGGGGCGGGGCCCUGGGCGUCCCGGCGCGUCUCGCUCGCAGCCUCGCGGCCGGCCGCGCAUUCUCCGCGCUCGGAGCCGCCGCCGCCGACGGCCCGACUCCAACGCGUGGCUGGCAGGCCCUGCCCCACCUCCCUGCCGCUAGGAUGGGUGAGUUCAGCGAGAAGACCAUGACGUGCGGCACUGUCUGCCUCAAAUACCUGCUCUUCACCUUCAACUGCUGCUUCUGGCUGGCUGGUCUGGCCGUGAUGGCAGUGGGUGUCUGGACGCUGGCCCUCAAGAGCGACUACAUCAGCUUGCUGGCCUCGGGGACGUACCUGGCCACAGCCUACAUCCUGGUGGUGGCGGGUGUUGUCGUCAUGGUGACCGGUGUUCUGGGCUGCUGCGCCACCUUCAAGGAGCGGAGGAACCUGCUGCGUCUGUAUUUCAUCCUGCUCUUCAUCAUCUUCCUGCUGGAGAUCAUUGCUGGAGUCCUGGCCUAUGUCUACUACCAGCAGCUGAACGCAGAACUCAAGGAGAACCUGAAGGACACCAUGACCAAGCGGUACCACCAGGAGGGCCAUGAGGGCGUAACCAGCGCUGUGGACAAGCUGCAGCAGGAGUUUCACUGCUGUGGCAGCAACCACUCGCAGGACUGGCGGGACAGUGAGUGGAUCCGUUCAGGCAAGGCAGGCGGCCGCGUGGUCCCUGACAGCUGCUGCAAGACGGUGGUGGCCGGCUGCGGGCGGCGGGACCAUGCCUCCAACAUCUAUAAGGUGGAGGGCGGCUGCAUCACCAAGCUGGAGACCUUCAUCCAGGAGCACCUGAGGAUCAUCGGAGCCGUGGGCAUCGGCAUCG
Non-coding RNA from Vicugna pacos (alpaca), 3247 nucleotides. The record is from RefSeq and is a predicted model, not a curated record. Lineage: Eukaryota; Metazoa; Chordata; Mammalia; Artiodactyla; Camelidae.